GGUUGAUCCUGCCAGUAGUCAUAUGCUUGUCUCAAAGAUUAAGCCAUGCAUGUCUAAGUAUAAGCCCUUGUACGGCGAAACUGCGAAUGGCUCAUUAAAACAGUUAUCGUUUCUUUGAUAAUCACUUACUACAUGGAUAACUGUAGUAAUUCUAGAGCUAAUACAUGCGUCUAUACCCGACCUCGCGGAAGGGUGGCAUUUAUUAGAUACAAAACCGACCCUGGGUUCGCCCAGGAACCGUUGGUGAUUCAUAAUAACUAAGCGAAUCGCAUAGGCUUGCCUGGCGAUGGAU
Molecule: ribosomal RNA, 292 nt
Filed under: uncultured eukaryote
Lineage: Eukaryota
Description: partial 18S ribosomal RNA
Rfam family: Eukaryotic small subunit ribosomal RNA
Source: RNAcentral